UGCUUAAAGCCACAGAUGGUUCGUGUAGGU
Molecule: non-coding RNA, 30 nt
Filed under: Rattus norvegicus (Norway rat)
Lineage: Eukaryota; Metazoa; Chordata; Mammalia; Rodentia; Muridae
Source: RNAcentral